RNAcentral lists this ribosomal RNA (908 nucleotides) under uncultured bacterium. RNAcentral describes it as "bacterial SSU rRNA". It matches the Rfam family "Bacterial small subunit ribosomal RNA", at positions 61 to 990 of the family's 1533-position model. The record is from RNAcentral.
GUCGACGAGAGAAUUGCUAGCUUGCUAAUAAUUCUCUAGUGGCGCACGGGUGAGCAACACGUGAGUAACCUGCCCCCGAGAGCGGGAUAGCCCUGGGAAACUGGGAUUAAUACCGCAUAGUAUCGAAAGAUUAAAGCAGCAAUGCGCUUGGGGAUGGGCUCGCGGCCUAUUAGUUAGUUGGUGAGGUAACGGCUCACCAAGGCGAUGACGGGUAGCCGGUCUGAGAGGAUGUCCGGCCACACUGGAACUGAGACACGGUCCAGACACCUACGGGUGGCAGCAGUCGAGAAUCAUUCACAAUGGGGGAAACCCUGAUGGUGCGACGCCGCGUGGGGGAAUGAAGGUCUUCGGAUUGUAAACCCCUGUCAUGUGGGAGCAAAUUAAAAAGAUAGUACCACAAGAGGAAGAGACGGCUAACUCUGUGCCAGCAGCCGCGGUAAUACAGAGGUCUCAAGCGUUGUUCGGAAUCACUGGGCGUAAAGCGUGCGUAGGCUGUUUCGUAAGUCGUGUGUGAAAGGCGCGGGCUCAACCCGCGGACGGCACAUGAUACUGCGAGACUAGAGUAAUGGAGGGGGAACCGGAAUUCUCGGUGUAGCAGUGAAAUGCGUAGAUAUCGAGAGGAACACUCGUGGCGAAGGCGGGUUCCUGGACAUUAACUGACGCUGAGGCACGAAGGCCAGGGGAGCGAAAGGGAUUAGAUACCCCUGUAGUCCUGGCAGUAAACGGUGCACGCUUGGUGUGCGGGGAAUCGACCCCCUGCGUGCCGGAGCUAACGCGUUAAGCGUGCCGCCUGGGGAGUACGGUCGCAAGAUUAAAACUCAAAGAAAUUGACGGGGACCCGCACAAGCGGUGGAGUAUGUGGCUUAAUUCGAUGCAACGCGAAGAACCUUACCUGGGCUUGACAUGUA